AAAUCCCAGACUACAUCCUGUAGGCCUUAGAUGUUGUUUGUCUCUGUAAGCAAUUUAGGGCCAUAAUGAUUUUGUGACUUGUUAUGCUAAUUAGCAUGGCAUUCCCAGUCUGUGAGCUGUGGCUGUAGAUUUAUUGGCUGGUUGGCUGGGAGGGAGAGAGAACAGAAAAGAAGGAUACCUGCAAAUCCUCAAGCCUGCUACAUGUAAUGGGAGAGCAGGAGCUGGAAAUGGCUAUGCCAGUAAGGUGGAUAUUUGACGGGAGAGGCACAAAUGUGUCCAGCCAAUGGAACCUGGCGUCUGCUUGCAUGCCCAUCAACACCGUGGACUCCUACACAUAAACGGAUUUUCAAACAUGUAACGGAGAAAACUAAGCAGAUCUAUUUAUGACUGAUCCAUCUGAUACGCAGAGACAUGUGCUUGUUGGUUUCCUUUUGACUAAAUCGCUCUCCCUAAAGAGUCACGGAUUUCAAAUUAA
Molecule: long non-coding RNA, 475 nt
Organism: Ictalurus punctatus (channel catfish)
Lineage: Eukaryota; Metazoa; Chordata; Actinopteri; Siluriformes; Ictaluridae
Exons: 3
Source: RefSeq, a predicted model, not a curated record